AACGAACGCUGGCGGCGUGCUUAACACAUGCAAGUCGAACGCGAAAGGGGACUUCGGUCCUGAGUAAAGUGGCGGCACGGGUGAGUAACGCGUAGAUAACCUGUCUUCAUGUCUGGAAUAAUACGCCGAAAGGGGUACUAAUACCGGAUAUUCCUGCUUUUUCAUAAGUUAUGCAAGCAAAGGUGGCCUCUGCAUAUGCUACUGCAUGAAGAGGGGUCUGCGUACCAUUAGCUAGUAGGUGGGGUAAUGGCCUACCUAGGCGACGAUGGUUAGCGGGUCUGAGAGGAUGAUCCGCCACACUGGCGCUGGAACACGGGCCAGACUCCUACGGGAGGCAGCAGUGAGGAAUAUUGCGCAAUGGGGGAAACCCUGACGCAGCGACGCCGCGUGAGUGAGGAAGGCCUUCGGGUCGUAAAGCUCUGUCAAGAGGAAAGAAGUGUACAAUGGCUAAUACCUGUUGUAUUUGACGGUACCUCUAAAGGAAGCACCGGCUAACUCCGUGCCAGCCGCCGC
This 513-nucleotide ribosomal RNA is filed under the name uncultured bacterium. Its description in RNAcentral is "bacterial SSU rRNA". It matches the Rfam family "Bacterial small subunit ribosomal RNA", at positions 29 to 518 of the family's 1533-position model. The record is from RNAcentral.